GGUGUGUCAUGUCUUGACCACUCGGAGCCAUCCUGAUACCCCCAUGGUCACCCCAACCAGGUAAUGCUGCCAUCCCUCCUCUCUCCAGGUGUGAUCCAAACCCUGAGCCCCUGACAUGUCCUUCCUCAGCAUGCUACUGAGACCUGGGAUAGCUUUGCUCUUUCUAUGCCAGUCCUGUUGGGGGUGGGUGGGGGCGGAUGGAGGAUACAGAGAAG
RNAcentral lists this long non-coding RNA (215 nucleotides) under Marmota monax (woodchuck). The record is from RNAcentral. Lineage: Eukaryota; Metazoa; Chordata; Mammalia; Rodentia; Sciuridae.